Long non-coding RNA from Panicum virgatum (switchgrass), 1091 nucleotides. RefSeq lists it as uncharacterized. The record is from RefSeq and is a predicted model, not a curated record. The transcript has 2 exons. NCBI's taxonomy places the organism in Eukaryota, Viridiplantae, Streptophyta, Magnoliopsida, Poales, Poaceae.
UUUAGACUACUCAUUCUAGAGCUCCUAGUUUUCCCUCUAGUAGCCACCUCUUGUGCCAAGUGAUCCACAGCGAUUUUGUAACCUUCGACUGUAUUCUUGAUCUUCAAGUUUAAUCCGAGGAAGGGUCGCCGGUCCGGCCCACAGGGUUCUUUGGCUUCAAAUCUCAGUUUGUACCCUUGCUGGAAUUUCUGAAGUUCUUGUGUUCUUGGUUUCUCCCUUUCCCCUCUCUUGUGGUUUUGUGGAGAACCUUCGAGUUUUUUUGAUAUGGGUGUUGUUGGGGAUUGAUUUGUGUAGAGAUAGACUCUUUGGAUCACUGCAUACGCCCUCACGGUGCAGUUCUUGGUCGUGAUCCGACUUGAGUUCUCUUUGAGUUCGUUUUGAGAAAACCCCAACAAAACCCCAUUCUGUUCGUAUUUUCAGAUCUGCGGUUGAUUCACAAGUCCGAUUGAGCUCAAAAUUUGUGGAGACCUUGGAAACAUAUUUCUCCAGGUGUGUGUAAAAUUUCAUCUCAAUCAGUUCGUUUGCUUAAGUUUUACAUCCGAGAACAGAAUUUCGUGCUGCUGAAAUCAGCACUUGUUCGCGACACGGUUUUGGACCGAUUCGGACUUUUCGGUGUCCGAUUUGCGAUCCGUUUGUUUUGCUGGUCUCAUGUGAGUAUUAGGAACAUUUUGUAAUCAUGAGAUCACUGGUUCGCUGAUGUGUUCUUGGUUUGAGCGCUUGCUUCAUCUCAAUUGAAGUGAGGUGUUCAUUUCCAGUGUUUGGAAGCAAAAUUUGAUUGGCUCCUAUUCACCCCCCUCUGGUCGCCUCACCGGUCCUUCAGUCCAAGAUCAAGCCUCGUAGCCUAACGGGAGCAUGUGCAGCCCACAAGUCGAGCAAGUGAGAGAUCAUACGCGUCCGAUGCUGCACAUCCUGGUCCUUUGGUUGGGCUAGUUUUCUUUUCCUAGCUCCCCUAAAAGUUCUCCGUGCACCUGGAGCCUCCAUGGCUGGCUUUCCAAAAUGAAUGUACGCAGUGCUAUGUAUAGCCUUCCAAAGUAUUUGGUAGACUGUGGCUUCAGUGUUUUGUCGGAAGUAAUCUACAGCCUUUGGCAGCA